GGCCCAGACUCCUACGGGAGGCAGCAGUGGGGAAUAUUGCACAAUGGGGGAAACCCUGAUGCAGCGACGCCGCGUGAGUGAAGAAGUAUUUCGGUAUGUAAAGCUCUAUCAGCAGGGAAGAAAAUGACGGUACCUGACUAAGAAGCCCCGGCUAACUACGUGCCAGCAGCCGCGGUAAUACGUAGGGGGCAAGCGUUAUCCGGAUUUACUGGGUGUAAAGGGAGCGUAGACGGUAGAGCAAGUCUGAUGUGAAAGCCCACGGCUCAACUGUGGGAGUGCAUUGGAAACUGUAGAACUAGAGUAUCGGAGAGGCAAGUGGAAUUCCUAGUGUAGCGGUGAAAUGCGUAGAUAUUAGGAGGAACACCAGUGGCGAAGGCGGUCUGCUGGACAGCAACUGACGCUGAGGCGCGAAAGCGUGGGGAGCAAACAGGAUUAGAUACCCUUGUA
RNAcentral lists this ribosomal RNA (447 nucleotides) under uncultured bacterium. RNAcentral's name for it is "partial 16S ribosomal RNA". It matches the Rfam family "Bacterial small subunit ribosomal RNA", at positions 328 to 792 of the family's 1533-position model. The record is from RNAcentral.